This 497-nucleotide ribosomal RNA is filed under the name uncultured bacterium. RNAcentral's name for it is "partial 16S ribosomal RNA". It matches the Rfam family "Bacterial small subunit ribosomal RNA", at positions 28 to 507 of the family's 1533-position model. The record is from RNAcentral.
GAUGAACGCUGGCGGCGUGCCUAAUACAUGCAAGUCGAGCGAACAGACGAGGAGCUUGCUCCUCUGACGUUAGCGGCGGACGGGUGAGUAACACGUGGAUAACCUACCUAUAAGACUGGGAUAACUUCGGGAAACCGGAGCUAAUACCGGAUAAUAUAUUGAACCGCAUGGUUCAAUAGUGAAAGACGGUUUUGCUGUCACUUAUAGAUGGAUCCGCGCCGCAUUAGCUAGUUGGUAAGGUAACGGCUUACCAAGGCAACGAUGCGUAGCCGACCUGAGAGGGUGAUCGCCCGCCCGGGAGGGGGAACACGGUCCAUAGUCCUACGGGAGGGACCAGUAGGGAAUCUGCCGAAGUGGGCGAGAGCUUGACGGAGCAACGGGGCGUGAGUGAUAAAGGUCUUCGGAUCGUAAAACUCUGUUAUGAGGGAAAAACAAAUGUGUAAGUAACUAUGCACGUCUUGACGGUAACUAAUCAAAAAGCCACGGCUAACUACGUG